RNAcentral lists this small RNA (173 nucleotides) under Chrysemys picta bellii (western painted turtle). RNAcentral describes it as "TUC338 (ENSCPBG00000016138.1)". Lineage: Eukaryota; Metazoa; Chordata; Testudines; Emydidae. The record is from RNAcentral.
CAGACAAAUUUGAAGACUGAAGUCCUCUGUUUCUCCACAGAACUGAUACAGCAUAGACCAUGGUAUAGCAAGUUUUCUCCACACCUUGUCAGCAUGACUGGAUUUGUCCUACAGGGGUCACUCUAGUAGCAUUUCAGGUUAUCCAAUUCAGAUCAGAUCCUCAAAUGGUAUAA